This 497-nucleotide ribosomal RNA is filed under the name uncultured bacterium. RNAcentral's name for it is "partial 16S ribosomal RNA". It matches the Rfam family "Bacterial small subunit ribosomal RNA", at positions 28 to 507 of the family's 1533-position model. The record is from RNAcentral.
GAUGAACGCUGGCGGCGUGCCUAAUACAUGCAAGUCGAGCGAACAGACGAGGCGCUUGCUCCUCUGACGUUAGCGGCGGACGGGUGAGUAACACGUGGAUAACCUACCUAUAAGACUGGGAUAACUUCGGGAAACCGGAGCUAAUACCGGAUAAUAUAUUGAACCGCAUGGUUCAAUAGUGAAAGACGGUUUUGCUGUCACUUAUAGAUGGAUCCGCGCCGCAUUAGCUAGUUGGUAAGGUAACGGCUUACCAAGGCGACGAUGCGUAGCCGACCUGAGAGGGUGAUCGGCCACACUGGAACUGAGACACGGUCCAGACUCCUACGGGAGGCAGCAGUAGGGAAUGUUCCGCAAUGGGCGAAAGCCUGACGGAGCAACGCCGCGUGAGUGAUGAAGGUCUUCGGAUCGUAAAACUCUGUUAUUAGGGAAGAACAAAUGUGUAAGUAACUAUGCACGUCUUGACGGUACCGAAUCAGAAAGCCACGGCUAACUACGUG